RNAcentral lists this long non-coding RNA (1779 nucleotides) under Arabidopsis lyrata. RNAcentral describes it as "long non-coding RNA (ALYR_LNC002471)". The record is from RNAcentral. Lineage: Eukaryota; Viridiplantae; Streptophyta; Magnoliopsida; Brassicales; Brassicaceae.
GAGAUAUGGGGUUAGAGUUUGUCAAAAGGGGACUCCCCAGACGAUUUCUCCUCUCUCUCGAGAAGAACACACGACGGCGAUGACAACUCCGAUCUCUGGAAAACUCGAGACUCAAGUCGAUUCUCCGAUUCAAAAUCGUUACUCUCUUGUUACUGAAAUCAGAUCCAACUACGGUACGAUCGCUCAAUUCUAGAGGUUUUCCUUUUCCCGUCCUUGAGAUUUAUCUUCUCCAAUCGCUCGAGAUCGAGAAUGUUUGUAUGGUAGAAUUUCUUGCGAUUUGUUUUUUUCUGAUUCAAUAACAUGAUUAGUAUAAGAAUUUCCCAAUUCCAUUAGAGGAUGCGACGGAUUUUGAAGAGUUUCUGGUCAGGAUUUGCCGAUGUAUCUCUAAUUCCAGAUAUGAUAAGGUGAGUUUUUUACCAGAUUUCAUUUUCAUUGAAGAAAUUAUGGUGAAUUUGAUCUUUGAUUGCUGAUUUUUAUUGUUUUUGUGAUGAAUUGUGGAUGCAUGUAAGUCCUUAACAAAUUUAGUUCCAGUUCUCAUUGGACUUAGUAUUGUAACACUAGUAAUUAAGUGAAAGAUAUUGUCCAUGCUUCUCUUCUAGAAAUUAGAGUGUUUUGAAGUUUAAUUUCAGUUUACCAUUGAUCUCUGUUGUUAAGCUUCGACCAUGUUUACGCUUAUAAGAAUUUCUUAUAUCAGUGCUCACGUUAUCUCUCUCUUUAUUUCAUUCUCUUUUAUUUGCUGAUAUAUUUUCUUUGUACUUUGAUGUAUGUAAUUUAGGCCAAAUUGGAUGACAAAACAUCAUUGUGUCAAGCAAUACAAAGACUGCAAUUUGAACAGAACCAAAGAGUAAUUUGAGUUCAUGGAUUUCACUUAAAGCUGGUAUGUUCUUCACAUGCUUUACAUACAUUUGAACUUGAUCCUAAUAUACCCUUUCUCUUGAACAAGUUGAGGUAAGAAUGCUGUAGAGAUUGAUUUAACUUGGUUUCAUCAUGUUUUUAAGUUUGUUAGUGAUUUGUCAGCUGUUAGAGAUCUUCUAGAUCGAAACACAAGAACCCAUCUUAAAUUCCUCGCUAUUAGUACUAUGUCAUUCUUCUUUUGGGAUGUUUAUGUGUAUGAGUUGAUAUUUUGAGUAAUCUGUUCAUCUUUAGUUCUUUAGAACAAUGACAAUAAAAUCUGAUAACCCUCUGUUUCUUUCUAUAGAAUGGGCACUUUUAGUCUGUAAGGAGAAGAAAGAUCCUUCAACACUCUCUGUCCAAGAUUGCUCUGGCUUCCUAAAUCUUUGGUACGUUCUUGUUGCGUUAUAGAUGACAUAACAAUCAAUCUUCUUCCUUUAGCUAGAGUGUUUUUAAGUUCAUCGGGUUUGUGUUCUUUAAGAAUAGUUACAUAUAUAUGUAUGUAUAUUCAGUAUGUUCUCUGGUUUAACGCAUUUACUGUAGAAAGGCGAUUAUGACUACAAAACUCUAUAGUUAUUAUGUUCAGGCACAAUUUUGUGUUCAUUGCUGAAAGGAUCUACCAUCUAUUGGAGGAGAAGAGCGUAGAGGACAAGUAAAGCAACAAAUGUUGUCCAGACAAGUGUGACAGAAGUUGUGGUUCAAAGUUUUGAAGAUAAGGCCAGAAGAAAAAGUUUUGAAGGUGUGAGUAUAUAGUAGAAAUAUUGUGGAUAUUUUAACAUGACACAUUUGUAUAUUUACAGUGGAAUUUUAAGUUUUAUCAAUAGAAAUUUUGUAUGGCUCACUAUAGUUUCAAAAUGUUUGUUUAUGCAAUUUUUAUUUAAUAAGUAA